RNAcentral lists this unclassified non-coding RNA (1191 nucleotides) under Centruroides sculpturatus (bark scorpion). RNAcentral describes it as "muscleblind-like protein 1, transcript variant X3". The record is from RNAcentral. Lineage: Eukaryota; Metazoa; Arthropoda; Arachnida; Scorpiones; Buthidae.
AUGGCCAUGGUAAACAGUCUAACGAACGUAAAAGAUUCCCGUUGGCUUCAGUUAGAAGUAUGUCGAGAGUUUCAAAGAAACAAAUGUACCCGUCCCGACACAGAGUGCAAGUUUGCUCAUCCACCUGCCAACGUUGAAGUGCAAAACGGACGUGUCAUCGCUUGCUAUGACUCAACCAAGGGUCGAUGUAAUCGUGAGAAGCCACCCUGCAAAUACUUCCAUCCGCCCGAACAUCUUAAAAACCAAUUACUAAUUAAUGGUCGUAAUCAUUUAGUCCUGAAGAAUGCUCUCCUUCAACAGUUGCCCCUCCAACCAGUGUUGCCAGCUGCUGUGGUAAGUGCUCUUCCAAGUCUUCUGUAUGCUCCCCUUGCCCAUCAGCAGCGUGCCACCAUUUCCUCUCUCCUCAAUGUUAUCAAUUCUAAGGCUAGCACAAAUCCAUAUUUAGCAAAUUUACCAGCAAUGGCAACAACAUCAUUUAAUCCAUACUUAACACCAACACCAAUGAUGCCUGGCAUGGUCCCUGCUGAUGCUAUGGCUGCACCUCUCAGUGUUGUCCCUACACCUUUAGUUGCAUCUCAAAAAGUAUCUCGCACGGAUCGAUUAGAGGUUUGCCGUGAAUAUCAGCGCGGUAACUGCAAGCGUGCCGAAACUGAGUGUCGCUUUGCUCAUCCCCCUGAUCAUGUGACAGUCGACAGUACUGAAGGCAUGGUGACAGUCUGUAUGGAUUUUGUAAAGGGCCGAUGCACGCGGGAACAGUGUCGAUACUUCCAUCCCCCUCCACACUUGCAAGCACAGCUAAAGGCUGCCCAGAGUAGAGCUAACGCCGCUGCUGUGCCGCACGUGGUCGAGACCUUGGUCGGCAAGAAGCGCCCCCGUGACCAUGCUGAUGACCUCAUUCUGAUUCCCAGUGCUGAGCAGGGUGUGUGUGGCACCCUUUUCCAGGCAUUUCCCGGUAUGGUGCCCUACACUAAGCGUCCAGCACUAGAUAAAAGUGGAAUACCAGUUUAUCAACCAUCCACUGCGGCAUACCAACAGGCACUAGCCAUGCAAGUUCAGCAGCCUUUUGUACCAGUUUCAUUUGCUGGACACCCUACCAGUUUGCCGAGAUUUUAAAUCUAGCCAAUGUAAGAGACCACAAUGCCGUUAUGUACAUCUAGUGGAAGAUUAUGUUGAAGUGGUGGAUGGAAAAGU